UAAUACGUAGGGCGCAAGCGUUGUCCGGAAUUAUUGGGCGUAAAGAGCUCGUAGGCGGCUUGUCACGUCGGGUGUGAAAGCCCGGGGCUUAACCCCGGGUCUGCAUUCGAUACGGGCUAGCUAGAGUGUGGUAGGGGAGAUCGGAAUUCCUGGUGUAGCGGUGAAAUGCGCAGAUAUCAGGAGGAACACCGGUGGCGAAGGCGGAUCUCUGGGCCAUUACUGACGCUGAGGAGCGAAAGCGUGGGGAGCGAACAGGAUUAGAUACCCUGGUAGUCCACGCCGUAAACGGUGGGAACUAGGUGUUGGCGACAUUCCACGUCGUCGGUGCCGCAGCUAACGCAUUAAGUUCCCCGCCUGGGGAGUACGGCCGCAAGGCU
RNAcentral lists this ribosomal RNA (377 nucleotides) under uncultured bacterium. RNAcentral describes it as "bacterial SSU rRNA". It matches the Rfam family "Bacterial small subunit ribosomal RNA", at positions 521 to 895 of the family's 1533-position model. The record is from RNAcentral.